Molecule: small nucleolar RNA, 95 nt
Filed under: Theobroma cacao (cacao)
Lineage: Eukaryota; Viridiplantae; Streptophyta; Magnoliopsida; Malvales; Malvaceae
Description: snoRNA snoR8a
Rfam family: Small nucleolar RNA snoR8a
Source: Rfam by way of RNAcentral
GAGAUAGCAAUAAUUAUAAAAAUAAUUUAUCGUUCUGAUUUGCUUAAUUUGGGCAUGAGAAACCUUUUAUUACACUCAUAGAAUAUGAGCUACUC